This 218-nucleotide unclassified non-coding RNA is filed under the name Hevea brasiliensis (rubber tree). Lineage: Eukaryota; Viridiplantae; Streptophyta; Magnoliopsida; Malpighiales; Euphorbiaceae. The record is from RNAcentral.
GGAGGAGUGAUGAGUUUGUCCCCACCAGCUGUUUUAAGAGGGCAAACCCGUUGCAUUAAGAACACCACAUAUCAACUCUAGCUUCAACUGUUGGAGUGGGAGUGCAACUGUUUGGUUGAGCAAAGUAAACCUCGUUUGUCUAUGUCCAUCCAUGGCUGUAUAGCAGUGUGAAGCGAUUCUGAAUAGUCUGCAAAUAUUGGAUUGAAAGCUUCCAGUUG